CCCUUAGAUGUUCUGGGCCGCACGCGCGCUACACUGACACGUUCAUCAAGUCUAUAACCUUGACCGAGAGGUCUGGGUAAUCUUUUAAAAACGUGUCGUGCUGGGGAUAGAUUAUUGCAAUUAUUAAUCUUCAACGAGGAAUUCCUAGUAAACGCAAGUCAUCAACUUGCAUUGAUUACGUCCCUGCCCUUUGUACACACCGCCCGUCGCUACUACCGAUUGAGUGGUCCGGUGAGGCUUUGGGAUCUGAGCGGAAAGAGCGUUUCGCUGUUUCUGCUCGGAAAACUCAGUCGAACCUUAUCAUUUAGAGGAAGGAGAAGUCGUAACA
RNAcentral lists this ribosomal RNA (328 nucleotides) under uncultured eukaryote. RNAcentral describes it as "partial 18S ribosomal RNA". It matches the Rfam family "Eukaryotic small subunit ribosomal RNA", at positions 1470 to 1796 of the family's 1831-position model. The record is from RNAcentral.